GUGGCUUCGCGACUGCGGAAGGUUGCCCGGGCUGGCGCCGCUGGGCAGAGCCGGUGCGACGUUUCCCUUUCCAGCUUUGUUCUUCCGGCCCUGCUGUCUGCCUCCCCGGCUGAUUGGAUUCGUUACUGCUUUGCAACGCGCACCUAACUCCAGACGGGGUCUCACUCUGUCGCCCAGGCUGGAGUGCAGUGGCACAAUCUCAGCUUGCUGUGACCUCAGCUCUCUGCGACCUCUGCUUGCUGGACUCAAGCGAUCCUCCCACCACCUCAGCCUCCUGAGUAGCUGGAACCAUCAUAUGCACCAGCACGCCUGGCUAAGCUGGAAUGCAAUAGCGUGGUCUUGGCUCACUGCAACCUCCGCCUCCCGGGUUCAAGCAAUUCUCCUGCCUCAGCCUCCUAAGUAGCUGGGACUACAGAUGGAGUCUCAUUCUGUUGCCCAGGCUGGAGUGCAGUGGUGCGAUCUCUGCUCACUGCAAGUUCCGCCUCCCGGGUUCCUG
RNAcentral lists this long non-coding RNA (496 nucleotides) under Homo sapiens (human). Its description in RNAcentral is "PREDICTED lncRNA (TCONS_00118827)". The record is from RNAcentral. Lineage: Eukaryota; Metazoa; Chordata; Mammalia; Primates; Hominidae.